Molecule: ribosomal RNA, 253 nt
Filed under: uncultured bacterium
Lineage: Bacteria
Description: partial 16S ribosomal RNA
Rfam family: Bacterial small subunit ribosomal RNA
Source: RNAcentral
GACAGAGGGUGCAAACGUUGUUCGGAAUUACUGGGCGUAAAGCGCGUGUAGGCGGCUAAGUAAGUCGGGCGUGAAAUCCCACGGCUCAACCGUGGAAGUGCACUCGAAACUGCAUAGCUAGAGUCCUGGAGAGGAAGGUGGAAUGCUUGGUGUAGAGGUGAAAUUCGUAGAUAUCAAGCGGAACACCGGUGGCGAAGGCGGCCUCUGGACAGUGACUGACGCUGAGACGCGAAAGCGUGGGGAGCAAACAGGG